Molecule: small nucleolar RNA, 129 nt
Filed under: Urocitellus parryii (Arctic ground squirrel)
Lineage: Eukaryota; Metazoa; Chordata; Mammalia; Rodentia; Sciuridae
Source: RNAcentral
GUGCACAUUUCAUUUUUUUCUUUUUUAUUAAAAGAAAAAAAUAUUUCUCAUAUGCUAAACAAACUUGAAGGUAAAUUAAUAGCAUGCUUAUCUUAGCCACAGCUGUCAGUCGCCACCCUUCAGACAAGU